RNAcentral lists this ribosomal RNA (369 nucleotides) under uncultured bacterium. RNAcentral describes it as "bacterial SSU rRNA". It matches the Rfam family "Bacterial small subunit ribosomal RNA", at positions 525 to 896 of the family's 1533-position model. The record is from RNAcentral.
ACGGAGGGUGCAAGCGUUAUCCGGAAUCAUUGGGUUUAAAGGGUCCGCAGGCGGAUGUAUAAGUCAGUGGUGAAAGCCUACAGCUCAACUGUAGAACUGCCAUUGAUACUGUACGUCUUGAAUUCGGUCGAAGUGGGCGGAAUGUGUAGUGUAGCGGUGAAAUGCUUAGAUAUUACACAGAACACCGAUAGCGAAGGCAGCUCACUAGGCCUGAAUUGACGCUCAUGGACGAAAGCGUGGGGAGCAAACAGGAUUAGAUACCCUGGUAGUCCACGCCGUAAACUAUCAAUACUCGUUUUCGGCGAUAUACGGUCGGAGACUAAGCGAAAGUGAUAAGUAUUGCACCUGGGGAGUACGAUCGCAAGGUUG